GACGAACGCUGGCGGCGUGCUUAACACAUGCAAGUCGAACGGUGAAGCGCCUUCCUUUUUGGUGGGUGUGGAUGAGUGGCGAACGGGUGAGUAACACGUGAGUAACCUGCCCCCUUCUUCUGGAUAACCGCAUGAAAGUGUGGCUAAUACGGGAUAUUCUGGGUCUGUCGCAUGAUUGGUCUGGGAAAGAUAUUGUUUCGGUGGGGGAUGGGCUCGCGGCCUGUCAGCUUGUUGGUGGGGUGAUGGCCUACCAAGGCGGUGACGGGUAGCCGGCCUGGGAGGGUGGACGGUCACACUGGGACUGAGACACGGCCCAGACUCCUACGGGGGGCAGCAGUGGGGAAUAUGGAACAAUGGGCGAAAGUGUGAUGCAGCGACGCGGCGGGAGGGAUGGAGGCCUUCGGGUUGUGAACCUCUUUCGCCAGUGAAGCAGGCCUGCCUCGUUUGUGGGUGGGUUGACGGUAGCUGGAUAAGAAGCGCCGGCUAACUACGUG
This 494-nucleotide ribosomal RNA is filed under the name uncultured bacterium. RNAcentral's name for it is "partial 16S ribosomal RNA". It matches the Rfam family "Bacterial small subunit ribosomal RNA", at positions 28 to 507 of the family's 1533-position model. The record is from RNAcentral.